Molecule: long non-coding RNA, 1405 nt
Organism: Mus pahari (shrew mouse)
Lineage: Eukaryota; Metazoa; Chordata; Mammalia; Rodentia; Muridae
Exons: 14
Source: RefSeq, a predicted model, not a curated record
GCAGGAAGAGCAAGAAAAGCAGGAGGAACAGGAAAACCAGGAACACCAGGAGGAGGAGGAGAAGAAAUAAUGAGUGAUUGUGUCUACAUUUACAGGAAGAGUUUGAUGUGGUAGAAAUGUUGCUUCUUUGGAGAAAUUUGUACUCAAAGAAUUACUCAUGUAGAAUUUCACUGUGCUGUCAUCUGAGACAUCAAGUUCAUUACUGAACCCAUGCUUCCUCUCAGCUUCAUGAGAAGAUCACUACAGAUGCAGAUCACCACACUUAGCUAUUGAUAUUCCUGUCUCCCUGCUAAUAAAAUUUUAUCCAUCCUUGGUUGUGUAGAAGGUUCUAUGCUGCCAACUAGCUCCAAGAUAGGAUAGGGCUAUGGAAAGACAGAUCUAACAGGUGACAUGGCAAUACAUUGCUCUGGACAGCCGCUUGAACUUUCUUGGAACCACUGAGGACAUUUUGUCUGUGUCUUCACUCAGAAAAAGAGAUUCUACUUGUUCUAAUCUUGUACACUCAGAGUCUUGGUUAUGCAGUAAAAUAUAAUAGGCAAGAAGGCCGACCUGAGAGACACUGCUGGAAUAAAUUUGGAGUUGAGUGAGAAAAAGAUGGUAGGCUUACAUCUUUGGCAUUUACCACUAACGUAUUUGCAGAUUACUCCUUGAAACAUCAGGGAAUUAUCAAUGUGGACAAUCAGACUUCUUUUUAUUCUCCUCUCAUCAUACCCUCAAUUCCUGGUACAUGUGUGGUGAAUAGAGGCAGCAGCAGCAUCUGUAAUGAUGACAAUAGCAACAGCAGCAGCCAGAGCAGCAGGAGGAGCAGCACCAACAUAGGAGGAGAAACAAUAAGAGGAGCAGGAGGAGCACGAAGAGCAGGAAUAACAUGAGGACAAAAUAUAUCAGGAGGAGGAGAAAAAGAAAUAAUGAGUGAUUGAGUCUACAUUUAUGGGAAGAGUUGGAUGGGGUAGAAAGCUUCUUUGGAGAUAUUUGUUCUCAAAGAAUUACUCCUGUAGGUUUUAUGCUGCAGACCAACUCCAAGAGGCAACAUGGCCUGAGAAGGACAUAUUUAGCAGAUGCCAUGGAGAUAAAUUGGCAGCAGCUUGAAUUUUUUCUGAGCCACUGAGGAUAUUUUGUCAGUGUCUUCACUCAGAAGAGGAGGCAAUGUUUCCAACGGGCCAUAAGGCAAGGAGACAAACCUAUGAGAGAUUGCUGGAAUAAAUUGUGAACUGAGUGAGAAAAGGAUUCCAGGCUUACCUCUUUAUCACUGACCUCUAACAUAUUUGCUCUCUUCUUGGACCAGUCUCUUGCUGCAGAUUUUGAGAAGGAGUUGUGUUCUGGAAAGCUGCAGAUGAAAAUGAAAAGAAAACAUCAUCAUGGUCAGGUAACUUGCUGUCUUCAGACAGUCCAGAAGAGGGCAUCA